CAGUAGCCGCGGUAAUACGUAGGGUGCAAGCGUUGUCCGGAAUUAUUGGGCGUAAAGAGCUCGUAGGCGGUUUGUCGCGUCUGCUGUGAAAACCCGAGGCUCAACCUCGGGCCUGCAGUGGGUACGGGCAGACUAGAGUGCGGUAGGGGAGAAUGGAAUUCCUGGUGUAGCGGUGGAAUGCGCAGAUAUCAGGAGGAACACCGAUGGCGAAGGCAGUUCUCUGGGCCGUUACUGACGCUGAGGAGCGAAAGCGUGGGGAGCGAACAGGAUUAGAUACCCCGGUAGUCCCUGUCUCUUAUAA
RNAcentral lists this ribosomal RNA (301 nucleotides) under uncultured bacterium. Its description in RNAcentral is "partial 16S ribosomal RNA". It matches the Rfam family "Bacterial small subunit ribosomal RNA", at positions 509 to 809 of the family's 1533-position model. The record is from RNAcentral.